UAUUGGACAAUGGGGGGAACCCUGAUCCAGCGACGCCGCGUGUGUGAAGAAGUAUUUCGGUAUGUAAAGCUCUAUCAGCAGGGAAGAAAGAAAUGACGGUACCUGACUAAGAAGCCCCGGCUAACUACGUGCCAGCAACCGCGGUAAUACGUAGGGGGCAAGCGUUAUCCGGAUUUACCGGGUGUAAAGGGAGCGUAGACGGUGAGACAAGUCUGAAGUGAAAGCCCGGGGCUCAACCCCGGGACUGCUUUGGAAACUGCCUGACUGGAGUGCUGGAGAGGCAAGUGGAAUUCCUAGUGUAGCGGUGAAAUGCGUAGAUAUUAGGAAGAACACCAGUGGCGAAGGCGGCUUGCUGGACAGUAACUGACGUUGAGGCUCGAAAGCGUGGGGAGCAAACAGG
This 400-nucleotide ribosomal RNA is filed under the name uncultured bacterium. Its description in RNAcentral is "bacterial SSU rRNA". It matches the Rfam family "Bacterial small subunit ribosomal RNA", at positions 362 to 776 of the family's 1533-position model. The record is from RNAcentral.